GACGAACGCUGGCGGCGUGCUUAACACAUGCAAGUCGAACGGAAAGGCCCUGCUUUUGUGGGGUGCUCGAGUGGCGAACGGGUGAGUAACACGUGAGUAACCUGCCCUUGACUUUGGGAUAACUUCAGGAAACUGGGGCUAAUACCGGAUAGGAGCUCCUGCUGCAUGGUGGGGGUUGGAAAGUUUCGGCGGUUGGGGAUGGACUCGCGGCUUAUCAGCUUGUUGGUGGGGUAGUGGCUUACCAAGGCUUUGACGGGUAGCCGGCCUGAGAGGGUGACCGGCCACAUUGGGACUGAGAUACGGCCCAGAGUCCUAUGGGAGGCAGCAGUGGGGAAUAUUGCACAAUGGGCGGAAGCCUGAUGCAGCAACGCCGCGUGCGGGAUGACGGCCUUCGGGUUGUAAACCGCUUUCGCCUGUGACGAAGCGUGAGUGACGGUAAUGGGUAAAGAAGCACCGGCUAACUACGUG
RNAcentral lists this ribosomal RNA (468 nucleotides) under uncultured bacterium. RNAcentral describes it as "partial 16S ribosomal RNA". It matches the Rfam family "Bacterial small subunit ribosomal RNA", at positions 28 to 507 of the family's 1533-position model. The record is from RNAcentral.